This 84-nucleotide transfer RNA is filed under the name Moorena bouillonii PNG. Its description in RNAcentral is "Moorea bouillonii PNG tRNA-Leu". It matches the Rfam family "tRNA". Rfam says of the family: Transfer RNA (tRNA) molecules are approximately 80 nucleotides in length. Their secondary structure includes four short double-helical elements and three loops (D, anti-codon, and T loops). RNAcentral also lists the same sequence under 26 other names. The record is from RNAcentral. Lineage: Bacteria; Bacillati; Cyanobacteriota; Cyanophyceae; Coleofasciculales; Coleofasciculaceae.
GGGCGGGUGGCGAAAUUGGUAGACGCACCACACUCAAAAUGUGGCGGCCUUAUGGUCAUGAGAGUUCGAGUCUCUCCCCGCCCA